AUGGCUGUUGAAGUUCAGCAUCGCCAUGAUGUGUAUUGUUUCUCUAUUUUCCUCAUAUUGCCAUGUUCCCAAUUUUACAAACUGCUAUGUGAUGCACAAUGGCCACGCCACGCACUGGUGAGAUUCAAGGUGCAGUCGAGCAAGAGUCAGUUCGAGGUGAGGUGUCUCACGUCGAUCUCCUGCUGCUCACCAGCGAGGCUCGCUGACGAGCGGCCAGAUCCACACGAGGUGGAUAUCACACACACGGCCCUCUCCCCUCCAUCCUUUCUCUUUCCUACAACUAUUAUGUCUUUGUACCUUGUUAUAUUGCUCUUUCAUCCAUGGUGA
Molecule: ribosomal RNA, 327 nt
Filed under: Triticum aestivum (bread wheat)
Lineage: Eukaryota; Viridiplantae; Streptophyta; Magnoliopsida; Poales; Poaceae
Description: partial small subunit ribosomal RNA
Source: RNAcentral